ACUCCUACGGGAGGCAGCAGUGGGGAAUAUUGGACAAUGGGCGCAAGCCUGAUCCAGCCAUGCCGCGUGCAGGAUGAAGGCCUUCGGGUUGUAAACUGCUUUUGUACGGAACGAAAAGACUCCUUCUAAUAAAGGGGGUCCAUGACGGUACCGUAAGAAUAAGCACCGGCUAACUACGUGCCAGCAGCCGCGGUAAU
RNAcentral lists this ribosomal RNA (197 nucleotides) under uncultured bacterium. Its description in RNAcentral is "partial 16S ribosomal RNA". It matches the Rfam family "Bacterial small subunit ribosomal RNA", at positions 335 to 524 of the family's 1533-position model. The record is from RNAcentral.